RNAcentral lists this long non-coding RNA (1354 nucleotides) under Marmota monax (woodchuck). The record is from RNAcentral. Lineage: Eukaryota; Metazoa; Chordata; Mammalia; Rodentia; Sciuridae.
CUCUCUCUCUCUCUUUUUUUUUUCCUGGGUAAUUUUCAGCUCUGACCCUUCCCCCAAGUGCCACAGUUGAGGUAGUACUGAUUUGGAGACCUCCUACAGGCUGGUGACAAAUGUCACCUAAAGUCCCAGGACUUCAGUAUAGGUACUCCCAAAUGGGUACUAAGGCACUGUGGGGACGGGGCCACCAACAGGUGCCAGUUGGCCUGAGCAAAGGGGAUGACAUCAUCUCUCUUGAAGAACACAACUCCCAACCAAUAAAUGAAGCCCGCACAGGCAAGACCUGACAUCGGUGGAUGUGACCCAUUGAUGUCACCAAGCCUGGAGGAAAUCCCACUGGGAGAUGGAAGCAGAGCUCAAACCCUUGAACCUUUUCACAGUUCCUCCAGCUGCUGUGAUUCAAAGGGACGUCAGGGGUCCGAGUUCCCUGGAGGUUUAGCCAGGGAGCAGGGGAAGCCCGUGAAGGAGAUGACCGAGAUGACCGGUCCCUCCCACUUGGACAAGCAAUGCGCCACCCAUCGCGCUGAAGACGAAGCACGGUGGAGGCCGGAGGGCGCAGAGGCCGGUGCAACACACCUGCGCUUACCUUUUCCCAGCGGUCGUCAGACAGCAGACGGAGGACACACUGCCCACCACAGCGGGAACUGUGCAUCAGGUACCGAGGGGACAGCUAGCGGCAGGUUCGCAGCGGCCAUUGGCUGGGGCCCUGCGGUUCAUAAAAUGCUGGAAUCGAUUCCUGAACCGCACUGAUCCCCGUUUCUCCCAGUGGGACUGGAGCUGAACCUGGGGGUGCGGCCCUCACCCACUUGGGCUGCUCUGGAGCCUCCUGCGGGCCCCGCUGAGCCGCUGGGCCCCCAGUGGACCACACGUCAGGACAGGGCAGGGGCCAGACCUGUCAGCUGGGGACAGGUGGGUGGCCGCUUAAAAGGCCCCCAGUGCCACCUGCCUCCCCCAGACCCUAUUUUUACAUAAAGUCACCAUCUCAGGUUUGAGGUCCUCUAUGUAUUUCAAGGGGCAACAUUAAAAUCUGGACCUGGCUGAGUCGGGACGUGGUGGAGAACCGCGAUUAGAGUCGGGAGGCAGAACUGCCUUUCCGCUCAGUAAUAAGCUGCGCCCCAACUUACACCCCCUGCCUCACAGGAGUCCACCCACCUUACAUCCUGGGAUAAACAUGACGCUUUAGGGACUUGGCAGAAAAUUACGGUAGUGACUAUGUCCGCUACGUUCUAAGAAAGUCAGUCGGGUACGAUGGACGAGAGAAAGGAAUGUGCCCAAAUACCCAAGACCAUGGAAGGACAAUCGUGCAAUGACCAAGCAAGGGACAGCUGGGAAGGUAAGUGGACUGCACUCCCUGAAG